RNAcentral lists this ribosomal RNA (253 nucleotides) under uncultured bacterium. Its description in RNAcentral is "partial 16S ribosomal RNA". It matches the Rfam family "Bacterial small subunit ribosomal RNA", at positions 524 to 776 of the family's 1533-position model. The record is from RNAcentral.
GACGAACCGAGCGAACGUUGUUCGGAAUCACUGGGCUUAAAGGGUGCGUAGGCGGGCCGUCUAGUCCGUGGUGAAAUCCUCCGGCUCAACCGGAGAAGUGCCUCGGAUACUGGCGGCCUCGAGGGGGGUAGGGGCGUGCGGAACUUCCGGUGGAGCGGUGAAAUGCGUAGAUAUCGGAAGGAACACCGGUGGCGAAAGCGGCGCGCUGGACCCCAUCUGACGCUGAGGCACGAAAGCCAGGGGAGCAAACGGG